Molecule: long non-coding RNA, 959 nt
Organism: Folsomia candida
Lineage: Eukaryota; Metazoa; Arthropoda; Collembola; Entomobryomorpha; Isotomidae
Exons: 3
Source: RefSeq, a predicted model, not a curated record
CAAUUUCUCAGACACAUUUACAAUGCGAAUUAUUUAUUCAAUGUGAUAAAUUGUGUUGUAAAUGCUUCCAUGCCGACAAAAUGAGGGUUUGGCCAUCAAGAUCUAUCCUCCUUAAAUUUUAGUUGGAGAACUUUAGUUGGAGAACUGCAAGAAUUUAUUCUUUAAAAUUAUUUUUUAAAGACAUCACCACCGAGAUAAAUAGAAAUAGAGGUGUCCAAACACUUCUCAAACAAACCGAAAACUGAAAUGCUACAUCCCCUUUGAAGACUAUCCAAACAAAAAUCGAGGAAUGUUAAGCUAAGAUAAUUUUUAUAUUUUAAUAUUCUUAAGUAAGUUUAACUACCAUACAUCACGUGUACAUUUUUAUGAACCCCUUUCUUUUGAAUAAUCACAUUCCUAUUAGUAUAAAUUGGCAAGUUUUCGAAAAAAUUAUGAAGACAUGUACUGGGCAGAAAUCCGAGUACCAUUUUCUGAGUACUAUUUAUCGGUAGGAAUACAAAUUAUUACGGGCCAUUCAUAAAUUAUGUAUGUAGAGCAAAAAUUGCAAUUUUCAACCCCACUCCCCUUUAAAAUGUGUCACAUCGACACGAAAUAAUCAGAGUCUUCUCCCCUCUCUAGAGUUACAUAAUUUAUGAACUGCCCCUUAUCAAAUACUAUUACAAAACCAAAAUUAUUGGGAUGGUUACAUAUGUAGAUUGUCUGGACAGAUUUGUUACGUAGAUUGUUUAAGCGGAUUAUAAUUUCCUUCUGUUUCAAUGUAAGUAUUCUUGUAAGUAACGUAAGUAACGUGCUUUAUGUGUGGUACAUGAGAUCUGUUAAUCAAAGCAGGCACCAAAGGUUUUAAUUUGGGCAUCAUGACAAAGAUUUCUUGGAUUGCGAGAAACUAAUUAUAUGUUUAUGCACUCAUUGAUUGAUUGAUUGAUUUUAGACCACGUGUGGUGUACAUGGGUAAUAAAAGG